GACGUGACUUCAGAGUUUGAUCCUGGCUCAGGAUGAACGCUAGCGGCAGGCCUAAUACAUGCAAGUCGAGGGGCAUCGCGGGCAGCAAUGCCUGGCGGCGACCGGCGGACGGGUGCGUAACGCGUAUGCAACCUGCCCCCUACCGGGGGAUAGCCCGGGGAAACCCGGAUUAAUACCCCAUGGCACACUGCCACGGCAUCGUGGUGGUGUUAAAGGUUUACCGGUAGGGGAUGGGCAUGCGUGCCAUUAGCUAGUUGGUGGGGUAACGGCCCACCAAGGCUGCGAUGGCUAGGGGGCCUGAGAGGGUGGUCCCCCACACUGGCACUGAGAUACGGGCCAG
RNAcentral lists this ribosomal RNA (340 nucleotides) under uncultured bacterium. RNAcentral describes it as "bacterial SSU rRNA". It matches the Rfam family "Bacterial small subunit ribosomal RNA", at positions 1 to 334 of the family's 1533-position model. The record is from RNAcentral.